ACAUGAAGCUGGAAUCGCUAGUAAUCGCGGAUCAGAAUGCCGCGGUGAAUACUUCCCGGGUCUUGUACACACCGCCCGUCACACCAUGGGAGUCGGAAAUGCCCGAAGUCUGUGACCCAACCUUAGGGAGGGAGCAGCCGAAGGCAGGUCGGAUGACUGGGGUGAAGUCGUAACAAGGUACC
RNAcentral lists this ribosomal RNA (182 nucleotides) under uncultured bacterium. RNAcentral's name for it is "partial 16S ribosomal RNA". It matches the Rfam family "Bacterial small subunit ribosomal RNA", at positions 1318 to 1500 of the family's 1533-position model. The record is from RNAcentral.